RNAcentral lists this ribosomal RNA (301 nucleotides) under uncultured bacterium. RNAcentral's name for it is "partial 16S ribosomal RNA". It matches the Rfam family "Bacterial small subunit ribosomal RNA", at positions 509 to 807 of the family's 1533-position model. The record is from RNAcentral.
CAGUAGCCGCGGUAAUACGAACCGUGCGAACGUUAUUCGGAAUCACUGGGCUUAAAGCGCGUGUAGGCGGGCCGUCACGUCGGCUGCUGAAAUCCCCCGGCUCAACCGGGGAAGUGGCACCGAUACGAGCGGUCUUGAGGGGGGUAGGGGGGUCUGGAACUUCCGGUGGAGCGGUGAAAUGCGUUGAGAUCGGAAGGAACGCCCGUGGCGAAAGCGAGGCCCUGGACCCUUUCUGACGCUGAGACGCGAAAGCCAUGGGAGCAAAUGGGAUUAGAUACCCCCGUAGUCCCUGUCUCUUAUU